Molecule: ribosomal RNA, 388 nt
Filed under: uncultured bacterium
Lineage: Bacteria
Description: bacterial SSU rRNA
Rfam family: Bacterial small subunit ribosomal RNA
Source: RNAcentral
AUUAAACGCUGGCGGCAUGCUUUACACAUGCAAGUCGAACGGCAGCACGGGUGCUUGCACCUGGUGGCGAGUGGCGGACGGGUGAGUAAUACAUCGGAACGUGUCCUGAAGUGGGGGAUAACGCAUCGAAAGAUGUGCUAAUACCGCAUAUUCUCUGAGGAGAAAAGUAAGGGGAGUCGAAGACCUUAUGCUUUGGAGCGGCCGAUGUCUGAUUAGCUAGUUGGUAGGGUAAUGGCUUACCAAGGCGACGAUCAGUAGUUGGUCUGAGAGGACGGCCAGCCACACUGGGACUGAGACACGGCCCAGACUCCUACGGGAGGCAGCAGUGGGGAAUUUUGGACAAUGGGCGAAAGCCUGAUCCAGCCAUGCCGCGUGAGUGAAGAAGGCC